This 460-nucleotide ribosomal RNA is filed under the name uncultured bacterium. Its description in RNAcentral is "partial 16S ribosomal RNA". It matches the Rfam family "Bacterial small subunit ribosomal RNA", at positions 338 to 795 of the family's 1533-position model. The record is from RNAcentral.
CCUACGGGUGGCAGCAGUGAGGAAUAUUGGUCAAUGGACGAGAGUCUGAACCAGCCAAGUAGCAUGAAGGAUGACUGCUCUAUGGGUUGUAAACUUCUUUUUUAAAGGAAUAAAACGAGGUACGUGUGCCUUUUUGCAUGUACUUUAUGAAUAAGGAUCGGCUAACUCUGUGCCAGCAGCCGCGGUAAUACGGAGGAUCCGAGCGUUAUCCGGAUUUAUUGGGUUUAAAGGGAGCGUAGAUGGGUUGUUAAGUCAGUUGUGAAAGUUUGCGGCUCAACCGUAAAAUUGCAAUUGAUACUGGCAGUCUUGAGUACAGUUGAGGUAGGCGGAAUUCGUGGUGUAGCGGUGAAAUGCUUAGAGAUCACGAAGAACCCCGAUUGCGAAGGCAGCUUACUAAACUGUGACUGACAUUGAUGCUCGAAAGUGUGGGUAGCAAACAGGAUUAGAUACCCGUGUAGUC